ACGCUCGACACCUACGAGAGGCAGCAGUGGGGAAUAUUGGGCAAUGGGCGCAAGCCUGACCCAGCAACGCCGCGUGAAGGAAGAAGGCCCUCGGGUUGUAAACUUCUUUUAACAGGGACGAAGUAAGUGACGGUACCUGUUGAAUAAGCCACGGCUAACUACGUGCCAGCAGCCGCGGUAAUCUGAGCGGGCUGGCAAGGC
Molecule: ribosomal RNA, 201 nt
Filed under: uncultured bacterium
Lineage: Bacteria
Description: partial 16S ribosomal RNA
Rfam family: Bacterial small subunit ribosomal RNA
Source: RNAcentral